RNAcentral lists this ribosomal RNA (229 nucleotides) under uncultured bacterium. Its description in RNAcentral is "partial 16S ribosomal RNA". It matches the Rfam family "Bacterial small subunit ribosomal RNA", at positions 568 to 796 of the family's 1533-position model. The record is from RNAcentral.
UGUGCAGGCGGAAUGAUUAGUCAGUGGUGAAAGCCCUCGGCUCAACCGAGGAACUGCCAUUGAUACUGUCAUUCUUGAGUACAGUUGUAGUGGGCGGAAUGUGUCAUGUAGCGGUGAAAUGCAUAGAGAUGACACAGAACACCGAUCGCGAAGGCAGCUCACUAAGCUGAAACUGACGCUCAGGCACGAAAGCGUGGGUAGCAAACAGGAUUAGAUACCCUGGUAGUCC